GAUGAACGCUGGCGGCGUGCCUAAUACAUGCGAGUCGAGCGAACAGACGAGGAGCUUGCUCCUCUGACGUUAGCGGCGGACGGGUGAGUAACACGUGGAUAACCUACCUAUAAGACUGGGAUAAUUUCGGGAAACCGGAGCUAAUACCGGAUAAUAUAUUGAACCGCAUGGUUCAAUAGUGAAAGACGGUUUUGCUGUCACUUAUAGAUGGAUCCGCGCCGCAUUAGCUAGUUGGUAAGGUAACGGCUUACCAAGGCGACGAUGCGUAGCCGACCUGAGAGGGUGAUCGGCCACACUGGAACUGAGACACGGUCCAGACUCCUACGGGAGGCAGCAGUAGGGAAUCUUCCGCAAUGGGCGAAAGCCUGACGGAGCAACGCCGCGUGAGUGAUGAAGGUCUUCGGAUCGUAAAACUCUGUUAUUAGGGAAGAACAAAUGUGUAAGUAACUAUGCACGUCUUGACGGUACCUAAUCAGAAAGCCACGGCUAACUACGUG
Molecule: ribosomal RNA, 497 nt
Filed under: uncultured bacterium
Lineage: Bacteria
Description: partial 16S ribosomal RNA
Rfam family: Bacterial small subunit ribosomal RNA
Source: RNAcentral